CAGCAGUAGCCACGGUAAAACGGAGGGGGCUAGCGUUGUUCGGAAUUACUGGGCGUAAAGCGCACGUAGGCGGCUUUGUAAGUCAGAGGUGAAAGCCCGGGGCUCAACCCCGGAAUUGCCUUUGAGACUGCAUCGCUUGAAUCCAGGAGAGGUGAGUGGAAUUCCGAGUGUAGAGGUGAAAUUCGUAGAUAUUCGGAAGAACACCAGUGGCGAAGGCGGCUCACUGGACUGGUAUUGACGCUGAGGUGCGAAAGCGUGGGGAGCAAACAGGAUUAGAUACCCCUGUAGUCCCUGUCUCUUAUAA
RNAcentral lists this ribosomal RNA (304 nucleotides) under uncultured bacterium. RNAcentral's name for it is "partial 16S ribosomal RNA". It matches the Rfam family "Bacterial small subunit ribosomal RNA", at positions 506 to 809 of the family's 1533-position model. The record is from RNAcentral.